GGGCUGGCUUUAGCUCAGCGGUUCCUUCGGUCUCAUUUCCAGACUGUAGCUGUCCUUUCGAGGGUGGUUCGAGACCCGCGGGCGCUUCCCAGCCUUUUU
Unclassified non-coding RNA from Loxodonta africana (African savanna elephant), 99 nucleotides. Its record names the gene Vault. It matches the Rfam family "Vault RNA". Rfam says of the family: This family of RNAs are found as part of the enigmatic vault ribonucleoprotein complex. NCBI's taxonomy places the organism in Eukaryota, Metazoa, Chordata, Mammalia, Proboscidea, Elephantidae. The record is from Ensembl.